UAGCAGCACGUAAAUAUUGGUGUAGUAAUAAACCCCAAUAUUAUUGUGCUGCUUAA
RNAcentral lists this microRNA precursor (56 nucleotides) under Sphenodon punctatus (tuatara). Its description in RNAcentral is "Spt-Mir-15-P2b_pre stem-loop". It matches the Rfam family "mir-16 microRNA precursor family", at positions 10 to 75 of the family's 82-position model. From Rfam's summary of the family: The hairpin precursors (represented here) are predicted based on base pairing and cross-species conservation -- their extents are not known. The record is from RNAcentral. Lineage: Eukaryota; Metazoa; Chordata; Lepidosauria; Sphenodontia; Sphenodontidae.